This 496-nucleotide ribosomal RNA is filed under the name uncultured bacterium. Its description in RNAcentral is "partial 16S ribosomal RNA". It matches the Rfam family "Bacterial small subunit ribosomal RNA", at positions 29 to 507 of the family's 1533-position model. The record is from RNAcentral.
ACGCACGCUGGCGGCGUGCCUAAUACAUGCAAGUUGAGCGAUGAAGAUUGGUGCUUGCACCAAUUUGAAGAGCAGCGAACGGGUGAGUAACGCGUGGGGAAUCUGCCUUUGAGCGGGGGACAACAUUUGGAAACGAAUGCUAAUACCGCAUAACAACUUUAAACAUAAGUUUUAAGUUUGAAAGAUGCAAUUGCAUCACUCAAAGAUGAUCCCGCGUUGUAUUAGCUAGUUGGUGAGGUAAAGGCUCACCAAGGCGAUGAUACAUAGCCGACCUGAGAGGGUGAUCGGCCACAUUGGGACUGAGACACGGCCCAAACUCCUACGGGAGGCAGCAGUAGGGAAUCUUCGGCAAUGGACGAAAGUCUGACCGAGCAACGCCGCGUGAGUGAAGAAGGGUUUCGGAUCGUAAAACUCUGUUGGUAGAGAAGAACGUUGGUGAGAGUGGAAAGCUCAUCAAGUGACGGUAACUACCCAGAAAGGGACGGCUAACUACGUG